Molecule: ribosomal RNA, 919 nt
Filed under: uncultured archaeon
Lineage: Archaea
Description: bacterial SSU rRNA
Rfam family: Archaeal small subunit ribosomal RNA
Source: RNAcentral
UUCCGGUUGAUCCCGCCGGAGGCCAUUGCUAUUGGAGUUCGAUUUAGCCAUGCUAGUUGUACGAGCUUAGACUCGUAGCGGAAAGCUCAGUAACACGUGGCCAAACUACCCUAUAGACCAGCAUAACCUCGGGAAACUGAGGCUAAUACUGGAUAACGCCCCCACGUUUGAACACAGGGGGCUGGAAACGCUCCGGCGCUAUAGGAUGUGGCUGCGGCCGAUUAGGUAGACGGUGGGGUAACGGCCCACCGUGCCGAUAAUCGGUACGGGUUGUGAGAGCAAGAGCCCGGAGAUGGAUUCUGAGACAAGAAUCCAGGCCCUACGGGGCGCAGCAGGCGCGAAAACUUUACACUGCACGACAGUGCGAUAAGGGAACUCCAAGUGCGAGGGCAUAUAGUCCUCGCUUUUGUGUAUCGUAAGGUGGUACACGAAUAAGAGCUGGGCAAGACCGGUGCCAGCCGCCGCGGUAAUACCGGCAGCUCAAGUGAUGGCCAAUUUUAUUGGGCCUAAAGCGUCCGUAGCCGGCCGAACAGGUCCGUCGGGAAAUCUGCUCGCUCAACGAGCAGGCGUCCGACGGAAACCAGUUGGCUUGGGACCGGAAGACCCAAGGGGUACGUCUGGGGUAGGAGUGAAAUCCUGUAAUCCUAGACGGACCACCGAUCGCGAAAGCACCUUGGGAAGACGGAUCCGACGGUGAGGGACGAAAGCUAGGGUCACGAACCGGAUUAGAUACCCGGGUAGUCCUAGCUGUAAACGAUGCUCGCUAGGUGUGGCACAGGCUACGAGCCUGUGCUGUGCCGUAGGGAAGCCGAGAAGCGAGCCGCCUAGGAAGUACGUCUGCAAGGAUGAAACUUAAAGGAAUUGGCGGGGGAGCACUACAACCGGAGGAGCCUGCGGUUUAAUUGGAUUCAACGCCGGG